RNAcentral lists this ribosomal RNA (433 nucleotides) under uncultured bacterium. RNAcentral's name for it is "partial 16S ribosomal RNA". It matches the Rfam family "Bacterial small subunit ribosomal RNA", at positions 29 to 507 of the family's 1533-position model. The record is from RNAcentral.
AACGAACGCUGGCGGCAGGCUUAACACAUGCAAGUCGAGCGAGACCUUCGGGUCUAGCGGCGGACGGGUGAGUAACGCGUGGGAACGUGCCCUUCUCUACGGAAUAGCCCCGGGAAACUUGGAGUAAUACCGUAUACGCCCUUCGGGGGAAAGAUUUAUCGGGGCAGGAUCGGCCCGCGUUGGAUUAGGUAGUUGGUUGGGUAAUGGCCCACCAAGCCGACGAUCCAUAGCUGGUUGGAGAGGAUGAUCAGCCACACUGGGACUGAGACACGGCCCAGACUGCUACGGGAAGCAGCAGUGGGGAAUCUUAGACAAUGGGGGCAAGCCUGACGUAGCCAUGCCGCGUGAGUGAUGAAGGCCUUAGGGUUGUAAAGCUCUUUCAGCUGGGAAGAUAAUGACGGUACCAGCAGAAGAAGCCCCGGCUAACUCCGUG